GUGGGGAAUAUUGGGCAAUGGGGGCAACCCUGACCCAGCGACGCCGCGUGGGUGAAGAAAUCCCUCGGGAUGUAAAGCCCUGUUGUAUGGGAAGAGCAGAAGACGGUACCAUACGAGGAAGCCCCGGCAAACUACGUGCCAGCAGCCGCGGUAAUACGUAGGGGGCAAGCGUUGUCCGGAAUUACUGGGCGUAAAGCGCACGCAGGCUGAAUUAUAAGUCGGUAGUCAAAUACGGAGGCUCAACUUCCGGAUAUCUAUCGAUACUGUAAAUCUAGAGUAUGUGAGAGGGAAGCGGAAUUCCUGGUGUAGCGGUGAAAUGCGUAGAUAUCGGGAGGAACACCAGUGGCGAAGGCGGCUUCCUGGCACAAUACUGACGCUCAUGUGCGAAAGCUAGGGCAGCGAACGGGAUUAGAAACCCUAGUAGUCC
RNAcentral lists this ribosomal RNA (427 nucleotides) under uncultured bacterium. RNAcentral's name for it is "partial 16S ribosomal RNA". It matches the Rfam family "Bacterial small subunit ribosomal RNA", at positions 354 to 796 of the family's 1533-position model. The record is from RNAcentral.